UACGUAGGGUGCGAGCGUUAAUCGGAAUUACUGGGCGUAAAGCGUGCGCAGGCGGUUUUGUAAGACAGAUGUGAAAUCCCCGGGCUUAACCUGGGAACUGCAUAUGUGACUGCAAGGCUAGAGUACGGCAGAGGGGGGUAGAAUUCCACGUGUAGCAGUGAAAUGCGUAGAUAUGUGGAGGAAUACCGAUGGCGAAGGCAGCCCCCUGGGUCGAUACUGACGCUCAUGCACGAAAGCGUGGGGAGCAAACAGG
RNAcentral lists this ribosomal RNA (253 nucleotides) under uncultured bacterium. RNAcentral's name for it is "partial 16S ribosomal RNA". It matches the Rfam family "Bacterial small subunit ribosomal RNA", at positions 524 to 776 of the family's 1533-position model. The record is from RNAcentral.